UCGGGGUACACGAGUGGCGAACGGGUGAGUAACACGUGGGUAAUCUGCCCUGNACAUCGGGAUAAGCCUGGGAAACGUGGGUCUAAUACCGAAUAGGACCACAGAACACAUGUCCUGUGGUGGAAAGCUUUUGCGGUGUGGGAUGGGCCCGCGGCCUAUCAGCUUGUUGGUGGGGUGAUGGCCUACCAAGGCGACGACGGGUAGCCGGCCUGAGAGGGUGUCCGGCCACACUGGGACUGAGAUACGGCCCAGACUCCUACGGGAGGCAGCAGUGGGGAAUAUUGCACAAUGGGCGAAAGCCUGAUGCAGCGACGCCGCGUGGGGGAUGACGGCCUUCGGGUUGUAAACCUCUUUCACCAUCGACGAAGGUUCGGGUUUUCUCGGAUUGACGGUAGGUGGAGAAGAAGCACCGGCCAACUACGUGCCAGCAGCCGCGGUAAUACGUAGGGUGCGAGCGUUGUCCGGAAUUACUGGGCGUAAAGAGCUCGUAGGUGGUUUGUCGCGUUGUUCGUGAAAUCUCACGGCUUAACUGUGAGCGUGCGGGCGAUACGGGCAGACUUGAGUACUGCAGGGGAGACUGGAAUUCCUGGUGUAGCGGUGGAAUGCGCAGAUAUCAGGAGGAACACCGGUGGCGAAGGCGGGUCUCUGGGCAGUAACUGACGCUGAGGAGCGAAAGCGUGGGGAGCGAACAGGAUUAGAUACCCUGGUAGUCCACGCCGUAAACGGUGGGUACUAGGUGUGGGUUUCCUUCCUUGGGAUCCGUGCCGUAGCUAACGCAUUAAGUACCCCGCCUGGGGAGUACGGCCGCAAGGCUAAAACUCAAAGAAAUUGACGGGGGCCCGCACAAGCGGCGGAGCAUGUGGAUUAAUUCGAUGCAACGCGAAGAACCUUACCUGGGUUUGACAUGCACAGGACGCCGGCAGAGAUGUCGGUUCCCUUGUGGCCUGUGUGCAGGUGGUGCAUGGCUGUCGUCAGCUCGUGUCGUGAGAUGUUGGGUUAAGUCCCGCAACGAGCGCAACCCUUGUCUCAUGUUGCCAGCGGGUAAUGCCGGGGACUCGUGAGAGACUGCCGGGGUCAACUCGGAGGAAGGUGGGGAUGACGUCAAGUCAUCAUGCCCCUUAUGUCCAGGGCUUCACACAUGCUACAAUGGCCGGUACAAAGGGCUGCGAUGCCGCGAGGUUAAGCGAAUCCUUUUAAAGCCGGUCUCAGUUCGGAUCGGGGUCUGCAACUCGACCCCGUGAAGUCGGAGUCGCUAGUAAUCGCAGAUCAGCAACUCUGCGGUGAAUACGUUCCCGGGCCUUGUACACACCGCCCGUCACGUCAUGAAAGUCGGUAACACCCGAAGCCAGU
Molecule: ribosomal RNA, 1350 nt
Filed under: Mycobacterium sp. DWMJ-1768B1
Lineage: Bacteria; Bacillati; Actinomycetota; Actinomycetes; Mycobacteriales; Mycobacteriaceae
Description: bacterial SSU rRNA
Rfam family: Bacterial small subunit ribosomal RNA
Source: RNAcentral